AUUUUAAUUUGAGAAAAAAUACAAAAAGAAACCAUGUACAAUCUAUGUACAAUUUUUUUGUACAAGACAGUAUAUUUAUCAGCAGAUUAUAUUUGACAGAGUCAGGUAGAUCAACUCAGCACCAUCAAAUAAUCCAUUUAUCCAUCACAUCUUGAACGCAUCCAAACUAAUUAGACUGCUGUGUCAAACUUCCGUUUGCUGCAAUGAUGAUGUACUAAGAAAUCCUAUCUGUGAUAAACAAGAGCAAUAUCCUGAAUUCUUCCUGAACUGAUAGGCAGCCAAAAAAAGCAAGUUUUCUUUAAAAAAAAAAAAUGCUGAAUGCAGUUUUCAUGUAUUAUUAAGACUUGAGACCCACCUCCUAUCCCCAUAAGUAUUUUAUGUUCUAUUAUAUAUCUAGUACAUUUCCCAACAAAUAAGCAAAAAAAUAGAUUAACAAAAAUAAUGCAACAUACUGUAACAGUAACAUAUGACGCGUCAGAGUCUUUUGAUUCGUUCAGUGGAUAACAACACAUCUGUGCAUCUUUCAGUCAUCCAUAUCUCAUUACAUUGUAUGACACAGCCUGCUAACCUUUAACAAAGCAUCUGGCAGAUAGGACAUGUGUGAUUUAUUGACUGAAGCUUGUAUCCAUCUGCCCCAUCAGCCCCUCGGGCCUCCUGUAUGCCACUUUUCGCUUUAGUGGGACUUAAUAUGGGCCCUCCUCUUGACCUCCUGCACUGCCUGGCACUAUACUGGCAUGGAGGCAUUGAUGGCUUGGAUGUUCUCCAUGUCAGUACAAGACUUUAUUCUCACAGUGGAAAACACGUGGACUCCCUUAAAGGAAGCCUGUGUCCCUGAAUGACUGAAGGAUGCCUGCUCAACUGAACUCUACAUGGCACUUAAAAAAAAAACACUCUAAAAACUUUAGAGGUAUACAAUGCGAAGAACAUCUGAAAAGAUGUAGGAAGGAGAGACAUCUCAGUCCAGUGUUGUGAGUAAUGCCAGCCUGAAUGAGUUGUGCAAUGAGGGUUCAGGUCUAAAAAAAAAAAAAAAAAAAAAAAA
Oreochromis aureus is the source of this 1039-nucleotide long non-coding RNA. The record is from Ensembl. Lineage: Eukaryota; Metazoa; Chordata; Actinopteri; Cichliformes; Cichlidae.